Molecule: long non-coding RNA, 961 nt
Organism: Oncorhynchus tshawytscha (Chinook salmon)
Lineage: Eukaryota; Metazoa; Chordata; Actinopteri; Salmoniformes; Salmonidae
Source: Ensembl
ACCAGCUCCAAGUCCAAGCCUAUCAACCGCAUCAGCACGGUGGUGUGAGUGUCAGGAGACGCAACAACCCUCCCAGACACCAGGGGGCACCGCUCGUCAGACUGAGGUCGUCAGACCAGGACAACUACAGGUUUAAGAGGGGCCACGUCCAGGUCAUCCAAUAUGGCCGCCAGCGCUCUGGGAGAGGCAGGAAGAGGUGGGACUUGCUCAGGCUGUGUUACUUCCACCUCCGGUUUCCUCACAGAUUCACAUUCAGCUAGAGAGGAAGAGGAAGAUACUAACUCACUGAAGAGGAAGAUACUAACUCACUGAAGAGGAAGAUACUAACUCACUGAAGAGGUAGAGAGGAAGAGGAAGAUACUAACUCACUGAAGAGGUAGAGAGGAAGAGGAAGAUACUAACUCACUGAAGAGGAAGAGAGGAAGAGGAAGAUACUAACUCACUGAAGAGGAAGAGAGGAAGAGGAAGAUACUAACUCACUGAAGAGGAAGAGAGGAAGAGGAAGAUGCUAACUCACUGAAGAGGAAGAUACUAACUCACUGAAGAGGUAGAGAGGAAGAGGAAGAUACUAACUCACUGAAGAGGAAGAGAAAGAUACUAACUCACUGAAGAGGAAGAGGAAGAUACUAACUCACUGAAGAGGAAGAGGAAGAUACUAACUCACUGAAGAGGAAGAGGAAGAUACUAACUCACUGAAGAGGAAGAUACUAACUCACUGAAGAGGAAGAGGAAGAUACUAACUCACUGAAGAGGAAGAGAGGAAGAGGAAGAUACUAACUCACUGAAGAGGAAGAGAGGAAGAGGAAGAUACUAACUCACUGAAGAGGAAGAUACUAACUCACUGAAGAGGAAGAGAGAAAGAGGAAGAUACUAACUCACUGAAAGCCUGACUCGCUCUCCAGACUCAGAGACUAGAGGAAGAGGAAGACACACAAAAAAUGACAUUCAGUGACUCAUGGAC